RNAcentral lists this microRNA (21 nucleotides) under Drosophila melanogaster (fruit fly). RNAcentral's name for it is "dme-miR-1016-3p". Lineage: Eukaryota; Metazoa; Arthropoda; Insecta; Diptera; Drosophilidae. The record is from miRBase by way of RNAcentral.
UUCACCUCUCUCCAUACUUAG